GAAGGAGUGCUUCGAGAGUGGUGUAGGGGCGGGUUUGUAACCCGCCCGACGCCGGGCAUUCGGCGCGCUUGCAGGUGGGACCGGACUGGAUUCCGGCCUCCGCCG
This 105-nucleotide transfer RNA is filed under the name Chloroflexota bacterium. Its description in RNAcentral is "tRNA-Thr". Lineage: Bacteria; Bacillati; Chloroflexota. The record is from RNAcentral.